AGCCUUUUGAAUUUAUAAAAGGUUUUUCCUGCCCGGUGUUCUUUUCGAAUUAACGGCCGCGGUACUCUGACCGUGCUAAGGUAGCAUAAUCAUUUGCCUUAUAAUUGAAGGCUAGAAUGAAUGGAUUUACAAGAAAUUUUCUGUCUCUUUCUUUUUUAUAGAAUUUGUUGUCACGGUGAAGAAGCUGUGUUGAAAAAGUUAGACGAGAAGACCCUAUUGAGCUUUACUCUUUCUCGAAUUUUUUAUUCUUUUCUGGAGUUUGAUUGGGGCGAUCGAGGAAGGUUUUUAAUCUUCCUUAUUUAUUUUUGUUAUUUUAUUUUUAAGAUCCUCUUUUAGAGAUCAAAAGAAUUAGUUACCAUAGGGAUAACAGCGUAAUUCUGUUUUAGAGUUCUUAUCGAAAACAGGGUUUGCGACCUCGAUGUUGGACUAAGAUGUCCCGGAGGUGCAGAAGCUUCCAUUGGUGGGUCUGUUCGACCCUUAAAAUCUU
This 487-nucleotide ribosomal RNA is filed under the name Cephalothrix sp. Palaeo_CB172_MCB005_18_04. RNAcentral's name for it is "partial 16S ribosomal RNA". It matches the Rfam family "Bacterial large subunit ribosomal RNA", at positions 1817 to 2597 of the family's 2925-position model. Lineage: Eukaryota; Metazoa; Nemertea; Palaeonemertea; Archinemertea; Cephalotrichidae. The record is from RNAcentral.